CUAUUGCAAAAGGAUUCAUAUGGGAGUCAAAUGCUAUAGAGGCCAUGUUUAAACAACUUAGGAGAAAUAGUCGGCGAAACGUUACUCAGACUUUCUGUACAAGAUGCGGAGUACAGGAAAGAAACAGAGAUGUGUUUAGGACGAGGUUUGGGCUAAUUGGCAGCAGGUUUGGUCCGAUCCUAAAUAUAUGAGGAAACGAGAGAUUGUCUCGUAAUAGGCUUAGUGAGAUGGGUGGUGAGGGGGCUAGUCCGUCUCAACACAUCGGUGGUUCCAUUUCAGCAACUGAGAUUACUGAGAAAUUGGCCAAGAAGUUGAACCAUCAGCCUACGCCCAUGAAGGUCUUCACAUUUAUACAUAUAAAGGACCAUGAUGGGAUCACAUUCAUUGAUAGGCAUGCUGAGCUUGUUAGAGAUAACUAUACUAUUGGGAAGGAGUGAGCUACUACAUCUCAGGCUCAAACUGGUGAGCAGCCUACAAUUGAUGAGUUGCAGCUUUAUCUCGAGGUUGCAGGAGGCGAGAAGAAAAGAAAAGUGUACGAUAAUAGUUUGUAGUCUGAUAUUUUUUAUAGCCGCACGCAUGGGGCUUCAGCGAGUAGGUCCAAACCAGCUGAGCCGGACGCACGUAUCAAGGAGAUUUAGGAUUUACGAGUUCAGCUUCAGGUGCACAGCUGAUGGAUAUGUAUGCUUGAGACCGACCCAUUGCACCGCCAUCUCCCUCUACACCGACAUGUCACUCUGAUCCCCCAGCUUCUUCUAGUCUGCCUGCCUCUCAGAGUCCCAUUACAGAUCUUGCAGAUUUGACCCCUUAGGCUUCGUUUUCAUUAUCAUAAUUAUUUUUUAUACAUUAAAGUAUAAUUUGUACAAUUCU
Jatropha curcas is the source of this 867-nucleotide non-coding RNA. Lineage: Eukaryota; Viridiplantae; Streptophyta; Magnoliopsida; Malpighiales; Euphorbiaceae. The record is from RefSeq and is a predicted model, not a curated record.